AGUGAACGCUGGCGGUAGGCCUAACACAUGCAAGUCGAACGGCAGCACAGUAAGAGCUUGCUCUUACGGGUGGCGAGUGGCGGACGGGUGAGGAAUACAUCGUACUCUACUUUUUCGUGGGGGAUAACGUAGGGAAACUUACGCUAAUACCGCAUAUGACCUACGGGUGAAAGCAGGGGAUCUUCGCACCUUGCGCGAAUGAAUUAGCCGAUGUCGGAUUAGCUAGUUGGCGGGGUAAAGGCCCACCAAGGCGCCGAUCCGUAGCUGGUCUGAGAGGAUGGUCGGCCACACUGGAACUGAGACACGGUCCAGGCUCCUACGGGAGGCAGCAGUGGGGAAUGUUGGACAAUGGGCGCGAGCCUGAUCCAGCCAUACCGCGUGGGUGAAGAAGGCCUUCGGGUUGUAAAGCCCUUUUGUUGGGAAAGAAAAGCAGCAGGUUGAUACCCCGCUGUUCUGACGGUACCCAAAAAAUAAGCACCGGCUAACUUCGUG
RNAcentral lists this ribosomal RNA (492 nucleotides) under uncultured bacterium. RNAcentral's name for it is "partial 16S ribosomal RNA". It matches the Rfam family "Bacterial small subunit ribosomal RNA", at positions 29 to 507 of the family's 1533-position model. The record is from RNAcentral.